Long non-coding RNA from Lycium ferocissimum, 3270 nucleotides. RefSeq lists it as uncharacterized. The transcript has 3 exons. The record is from RefSeq and is a predicted model, not a curated record. Lineage: Eukaryota; Viridiplantae; Streptophyta; Magnoliopsida; Solanales; Solanaceae.
UACAAAAACGGCCUUUACCAGCAAUUAUUUAGUGGCGAUAAGACAAUUGCCGCUAAUUGAUUCUUUAAGCUGAAAUAUUAACGGCACAUGAACAUUAGCCGAUGAAAGAAAUAGUUUUACCGAUAAUAGAAAUAAUUUGCCACUAAAAAUCGCUAAUUGAAACCAAUCUUAUCAUUUUGCCUUUCUCUCCAAUUCUUUUUCAUAACAUUUUGAUAGUCCCUCCACUUAUUUUAAGAAAAAAUAAAAGGAAAACCUAGCCCAAAAUUCAAUUUUAGCUGCGCAUCGUAGACUAAAGCAACUGUUCUCUCUCUGAAACUGAGGUCGCCGGCUAGCCAUCUUCUCUGCAACAAUGUUGAUUUUGGGUUUCAAGAUUGUUGCUGACAUCAGUCUUCUCCUUCACUUUUUUGUCUUCAUCGGCAAAAUAUUACGCUUCCUGUGUACCCAAACACUUGAGGUUAUGUCGAUUUGAUAUUUUUUAUAACCAACUAUGUCUUUCUGAUUUGUAAAGUAAAGUUUUCUUUGUUUGCUAAGUCGUGUUUUGCAAUAUCUGAUUAAUUCCUCCUUUGUUUCCUCUACUGUUUUAUGAAUUGGUUCCUCUGUUUGCUAAGGCUGUUGUUAUUAUAUUCAGAUUUUCGUGAUUGUUUAAAGUUUUCUGACUGUUUUUGAUGACUAUUGAGAUUUUAGUUGAAUCUUCCACAAGUCGAGGUGUGAAUUCAACUGUGUUCGAAAUGUGUACGACAGACUCUUUAAUUGUUUACAAAAGCCUAGUCCCUGGUUCCAAUUUGCUAGGUUUCUUAGCAAAUACUAAGGGAAUUUUAGCGGCUUAAAGGUUCAAAAAGUAUUUACAACUAUAAGAGAGAUGCUAUCAAAAUUAUUGGUUGCUAGACCCUGACCGGAUUUAUUUAUAGUCAGGUGAUUAAUGAAAAUGUUGAUGAAUGCAGCUGUAUAUAAUGUCAAUUUCUCUACUGGAGUUUCAGUUUGGAUGUGUAAUGAGUAUUUUAUUAAUCUAAUAUUUAAAAUAAUUGCAUAAAUACCUUCAAUGAGAUGUAAAAGAUAAAUUCUUGAACUUGUCUAAUUGGAUAUUCUUUAUGCUCUGACGUCCUGGUUGAUUAAAGAAGUGCUGAUUAUUUCACUUCAAGAGUUUCUAUUGAUUCCAAAAAGAGGUACUCAGUGUUCCAUAUUCAAUUCUGAGCAAUUCCAUAGAAUUUGAAGAAUAGUUAAUAUUGCUUUUGAUGCCAUCUACUCAUCCUACAUCUCUAUGUAUGAUGAAUGAUAAUAUAUUUCAGUUUGAAAGAUGAUUUGGAUUUUCAUUCCUAUUUGAUAUAUGUCAUGAUUAUUGGUAUUUAUUCUGAACUUUGUAGUUAUGUUUAUGACUUUAUUCUAGUUUCCAGACCCUAACCUGGUUAGUUUAUCCGCGCGAAGGUCUUAAAAGACCAGAAAAAUUUCUUACUAAUAUCCAAACAUUAAAAAUAUCUAUUAGCUUAUAGCUCAGUUCCUGGGCAUUGAUAUAACACACACACACACACACAAAACCAAUUCAAUGGAGAAUAUCUCUGCUUAGAAAUUCCAGCUACCUUAGAGAACACAUAAGUCUAUGACAAAAGAUGCAUUGCCAAUAGAAGAAACAUUAUUUGUUUUCAAUUGAGUUAUCUAAAAAGCAAUAAGUACUGUGAGCUUUGUAAAGUGACCUUCUGUGAUAUGUUGUAUGGUUAUCAAUCGAUCUCCUAAGCUUAAUACUUGGUACAACACUUUGAAGUUUAUUGGAUUAGGCUCGAAAACUCGUCCGUUGUGAGUAGAGACCAUCGCAUGCUUUAGCAUUUAUAUAUUCAGAAAUUUGAAGAUCUCUUUAGCUUUAAAACUAAACCAUUGUAAAGUUAUAAAAGGACUUAAAUAUUAUGAUGUAUUAAUAAAAACUGAGAAGUGAACCUGAAUUCUAUCAAUCAUCGUAUUAUGGAGUAAUAAACUUCAAUGAGCUUUAAUUCCACAUGGGACUAUGGGAGAGCUACAUAUUUACCUUUUGCAUUUAGUUAACAGGAACUCAUGCUUUUUGAAAAUGGCAGUGACAAAAAAAGUGUGUAAAUUGUUGUACUUCCUGUCUAAUUAACCAUCCUUAUUUUUUUUUUUCCAGUUGAGUGAAUCUCACUAAAUGCAAAGCUUUUCUUUUACACUCUUUAUUAUCUUUUCUAUACCAUCUUAGACGCACUCAUGUUAGACGCAAUCACUCUUAUGCUAAUAAAGUGAAAUGCAUAAAAAUCAACUUGAGCUUCAAAUUUAGGAUACACUUCUAUUUGAGGUGGUAAUUGUUUGCUAAUGCUUUAAAUGUGGUAAGUUAAAGCAGGGUGCUUGUUAGAAUCAGAUUACUCUUUUUUCCUCUUCUUGAUCAGUCUUCACCAUUAGAUUAGAUGGACUUUAUGGAAAAAUUCAAUUUAACUCCAAGGUAGAAACAUACAUAAUAUAAAAUUAAAAAAAACCUACAAGCUAAAAAAAUUGGCAAUAAUUUAUUACAUAGCCUUCAAAGGGCUUAAAUUGUGAAUAAUGAUAAACAGACCUAAAAGAUUGAAAAGCUAGACAGAUUUUGACAUAAGUAAAUUAGAAGAAGAAAAGACCUUAUGUAAGAAUAGAUCUAAUCAAAUGAAUGUGUGCUUUUUCUUUUUGCGUGCGAGCUUCUGUUUUCUUUUGUGCGCAUUAUGUUCUUCAGAUCAGCAUCGACAAAAGAUUUAAAAAAUAUGUAAGAUCUUCUAUUUUAACAGAGAGGAAAAUAGAACUUUGUUUCUAAGAGGUUUAUUGUCCAGAUUGAAUUUUAUAUAGUCCUAUAUAGUCGCUAAUCAAAUUUUCCUAACUUUCUAAAGACAUUAUGUUCUUAUUCAUUGAAAUUUAAUGUGCAUUUUAAUUGUUUAGAUGAUAUCUUUGAGCUAUGCAGUCAGAAUUACUCCAAAUGAGAGAAUUAAUGAGCAAAUAUACUCCCUUUGAAUCUACGCCUUAAGAUAUCAAUGGCACCUCAAGUGAACAGGUCCCUGAUGCCAACAGUGGCCAUGAACGAGUACCACAAGCAUUAAGGAUGCCUAGUGUUGCUGAAAAUACUCAACCUUCUCACGGUACUACUCAUCUAUAUCCUUAGGCUCCUCAAGGCAUUUCCCAAUAUCUUUGUCAAUCUAGAAAAGUAUUGGUUUUACCAAAAAUGCAUGGAUAUUUUGCACGUGCUGUCUAUCCUCACAGUAUUCUUCUUUACUUGCUUUUCAACUUCUGCCUGCUCCUACACCAUUUCCCUGC